UCAGAACGAACGCUGGCGGCGUGCUUAACACAUGCAAGUCGAACGCGAAAGGGACUUCGGUCCUGAGUAAAGUGGCGCACGGGUGAGUAACGCGUAGAUAACCUGUCUUCAUGUCUGGAAUAAUACGCCGAAAGGGGUACUAAUACCGGAUAUUCUUGCUUUUCAUAAGUUAUGCAAGCAAAGGUGGCCUCUGCAUAUGCUACUGCAUGAAGAGGGGUCUGCGUACCAUUAGCUAGUAGGUGGGGUAAUGGCCUACCUAGGCGACGAUGGUUAGCGGGUCUGAGAGGAUGAUCCGCCACACUGGCACUGGAACACGGGCCAGACUCCUACGGGAGGCAGCAGUGAGGAAUAUUGCGCAAUGGGGGAAACCCUGACGCAGCGACGCCGCGUGAGUGAGGAAGGCCUUCGGGUCGUAAAGCUCUGUCAAGAGGAAAGAAGGGUACAAUGGCUAAUACCUGUUGUAUUUGACGGUACCUCUAAAGGAAGCACCGGCUAACUCCGUGCCAGCAGCCGC
Molecule: ribosomal RNA, 514 nt
Filed under: uncultured bacterium
Lineage: Bacteria
Description: bacterial SSU rRNA
Rfam family: Bacterial small subunit ribosomal RNA
Source: RNAcentral